UACGGGGGGAGCGAGCGUUGCUCGGAAUUACUGGGCGUAAAGAGCUCGUAGGCGGUCCGUUAAGUCGGGUGUGAAAGCCCUCGGCUCAACCGAGGAAUUGCACUCGAUACUGGCGGGCUAGAGUCUGGUAGAGGGAAGUGGAAUUCCCGGUGUAGCGGUGAAAUGCGUAGAGAUCGGGAGGAACACCAGUGGCGAAGGCGGCUUUCUGGACUGUAACUGACGCUGAGGCACGAAAGCGUGGGGAGCAAACAGG
Molecule: ribosomal RNA, 253 nt
Filed under: uncultured bacterium
Lineage: Bacteria
Description: partial 16S ribosomal RNA
Rfam family: Bacterial small subunit ribosomal RNA
Source: RNAcentral